UUCCCUGCAGCGCAAUGGAUAGCGCGUUGGUCGUCUAAAUCAAAGAAGGUGGGUUCGAAUCCCACCUGGGAUG
Non-coding RNA from Trichonephila clavipes, 73 nucleotides. The record is from the annotation of a GenBank genome assembly. NCBI's taxonomy places the organism in Eukaryota, Metazoa, Arthropoda, Arachnida, Araneae, Nephilidae.